UAACUUAGUGGCGAACGGGUGAGUAACGCGUGAGUAACCUGCCCUGGAGUGGGGGACAACAGUUGGAAACGACUGCUAAUACCGCAUAAGCCCACGGCCCGGCAUCGGGCUGAGGGAAAAGGAUUUAUUCGCUUCAGGAUGGACUCGCGUCCAAUUAGCUAGUUGGUGAGGUAACGGCCCACCAAGGCGACGAUUGGUAGCCGGACUGAGAGGUUGAACGGCCACAUUGGGACUGAGACACGGCCCAGACUCCUACGGGAGGCAGCAGUGGGGGAUAUUGCACAAUGGGGGAAACCCUGAUGCAGCGACGCCGCGUGGAGGAAGAAGGUUUUCGGAUUGUAAACUCCUGUCGUUAGGGACGAUAAUGACGGUACCUAACAAGAAAGCACCGGCUAACUACGUGCCAGCAGCCGCGGUAAAACGUAGGGUGCAAGCGUUGUCCGGAAUUACUGGGUGUAAAGGGAGCGCAGGCGGACCGGCAAGUUGGAAGUGAAAUCCAUGGGCUCAACCCGUGAAUUGCUUUCAAAACUGCUGGCCUUGAGUAGUGCAGAGGUAGGUGGAAUUCCCGGUGUAGCGGUGGAAUGCGUAGAUAUCGGGAGGAACACCAGUGGCGAAGGCGACCUACUGGGCACCAACUGACGCUGAGGCUGGAAAGCAUGGGUAGCAAACAGGAUUAGAUACCCUGGUAGUCCAUGCCGUAAACGAUGAUUACUAGGUGUUGGAGGAUUGACCCCUUCAGUGCCGCAGUUAACACAAUAAGUAAUCCACGUGGGGAGUACGACCGCAAGGUUGAAACUCAAAGGAAUUGACGGGGGCCCGCACAAGCAGUGGAGUAUGUGGUUUAAUUCGAAGCAACGCGAAGAACCUUACCAGGUCUUGACAUCCGAUGCAUAGUACAGAGAUGUAUGUAAGUCCUUCGGGACAUCGAGACAGGUGGUGCAUGGUUGUCGUCAGCUUGUGUCGUGAGAUGUUGGGUUAAGUCCCGCAACGAGCGCAACCCUUAUUGCCAGUUUCUACGCAAGAGGACUCUGGCGAGACUGCCGUUGACAAAACGGAGGAAGGUGGGGAUGACGUCAAAUCAUCAUGCCCCUUAUGACCUGGGCUACACACGUACUACAAUGGCGUUUAACAAAGAGAAGCAAUACCGCGAGGUGGAGCAAAACUCAAAAACAACGUCUCAGUUCAGAUUGCAGGCUGCAACUCGCCUGCAUGAAGUCGGAAUUGCUAGUAAUCGCGGAUCAGCAUGCCGCGGUGAAUACGUUCCCGGGCCUUGCACUCACCGCCCGUCA
This 1289-nucleotide ribosomal RNA is filed under the name uncultured bacterium. Its description in RNAcentral is "bacterial SSU rRNA". It matches the Rfam family "Bacterial small subunit ribosomal RNA", at positions 88 to 1399 of the family's 1533-position model. The record is from RNAcentral.